This is a long non-coding RNA of Cebus imitator (Panamanian white-faced capuchin), 1051 nucleotides long. RefSeq lists it as uncharacterized. Lineage: Eukaryota; Metazoa; Chordata; Mammalia; Primates; Cebidae. The record is from RefSeq and is a predicted model, not a curated record. The transcript is spliced from 4 exons.
AGGUGCUGGGAGUCCAGGAAGUGCUGAGCAGAUGGAGUCCACGCCCUCGGGGAGACAGAGACCAUCACCCGCCCAGAGUGUGGGGACGAGAGGCUCGGGAAGGUCUGAUCAGCCUUCCGUCUUGAAAGGGACACCCCUGCUUCUGCGUGUCAGGUGCGCCAGUGGAAGUGGGAGGCGGUUGCAGCUUCCAGGCUGUCUCUCGAGUGGCUGUGGAUGCUGACAGAAUGCAUGCCCGCCUCGCCGUCACUGUUCACGCACAGCGCCUGCUGAGGACUCUCCUGUAACCUAAAGGGGUGGUGGAAGGAUGGAGCUUCAGGCCUUGAGGGCCAGAAGAUGAACACGGAAGACUGAAUCCUCAGGGGACCCCAGCUCUGGGCUGGCCCGGGACUGUGUUCUGAGGACGGAAGUGGAAGGAGGUGGCAGCAGGAGCCGGGCCCAAGGCAUCUCCCACACUUCCGAGGUCGAAGGAAAAAAAGAGGAAAAGCUAUCAGCAAUACCGAGGAAACAGCAGGCUAAGGUUGGCAUAGUUCUCAGUAACAUCACGGCAAUUCUCUGAUCCCUCCCUCACCUCUUGCCUACCGUUAAUCCAAAAAUGUCCAACAAAUAAGACAAGACCCGAAAGCACUGAAAACUUUUUCUUGCUGCCAAGUAUAAAACACGGACCCGUAUAGUGGCUUAAAAAAGUAAAUUCCCAGGAACAUUUAUAGAGAUGGAAAAUAGGACAGUGGAAUAGCAGGGGCUGGGGAGGGGAGAAGGAGAGGUGCUGUUGAACAGGUGCAGAGUUUCUGUUUGGGCUCAUGGGAAAGUUCUGGAAAAGAAAGCGUUGACGGUUGCACAACACUGUGAAAUUCAUAAUACCAUUGAAUGCACACUUAAAAAUGGUUAAAAUGGUAAAUUGGGUUAUCAAUGUUUUACCACAGUUAAAGAGUAUUUUUAAAAAAGCAUAGUCCCUCUGGGGUUAGCUGUAGUCAACAUCCAAAUUCCCUAGUGAUGAACUGAAGUAUGGACCAUCAGCAUAAAUGUAAAUUAAAAUUAAGUAUUGCCAGGCAGG